This 506-nucleotide ribosomal RNA is filed under the name uncultured bacterium. RNAcentral's name for it is "partial 16S ribosomal RNA". It matches the Rfam family "Bacterial small subunit ribosomal RNA", at positions 30 to 523 of the family's 1533-position model. The record is from RNAcentral.
AUUGAACGCUGGCGGCAGGCCUAACACAUGCAAGUCGAACGGUAGCACAGAGGAGCUUGCUCCUUGGGUGACGAGUGGCGGACGGGUGAGUAAUGUCUGGGAAGCUGCCUGAUGGAGGGGGAUAACAACUGGAAACGGUAGCUAAUACCGCAUAACGUCGCAAGACCAAAGAGGGGGACCUUCGGGCCUCUUGCCAUCAGAUGUGCCCAGAUGGGAUUAGCUAGUAGGUGGGGUAAUGGCUCACCUAGGCGACGAUCCCUAGCUGGUCUGAGAGGAUGACCAGCCACACUGGAACUGAGACACGGUCCAGACUCCUACGGGAGGCAGCAGUGGGGAAUAUUGCACAAUGGGCGCAAGCCUGAUGCAGCCAUGCCGCGUGUAUGAAGAAGGCCUUCGGGUUGUAAAGUACUUUCAGCGGGGAGGAAGGUGAUACGGUUAAUAACCGUGUCAAUUGACGUUACCCGCAGAAGAAGCACCGGCUAACUCCGUGCCAGCAGCCGCAGUAA